UAGCAUAUCAUAAGCGGAGGAAAAGAAACCAACAGGGAUUGCCCUAGUAACGGCGAGUGAAGCGGCAACAGCUCAAAUUUGAAAGCUAGCCUUCGGGUUCGCAUUGUAAUUUGUAGAGGAUGAUUUGGGGAAGCCGCCUGUCUAAGUUCCUUGGAACAGGACGUCAUAGAGGGUGAGAAUCCCGUAUGUGACAGGAAAUGGCACCCCAUGUAAAUCUCCUUCGACGAGUCGAGUUGUUUGGGAAUGCAGCUCUAAAUGGGAGGUAAAUUUCUUCUAAAGCUAAAUAUUGGCGAGAGACCGAUAGCGCACAAGUAGAGUGAUCGAAAGAUGAAAAGCACUUUGGAAAGAGAGUUAAAAAGCACGUGAAAUUGUUGAAAGGGAAGCGCUUGCAAUCAGACUUGUCUAAACUGUUCGGCCGGUCUUCUGACCGGUUUACUCAGUUUGGACAGGCCAGCAUCAGUUUCGGCGGCCGGAUAAAGGCUCUGGGAAUGUGGCCUCCACUUCGGUGGAGGUGUUAUAGCCCGGGGUGUAAUACGGCCAGCCGGGACUGAGGUCCGCGCUUCGGCUAGGAUGCUGGCGUAAUGGUUGUAAGCGACCCGUCUUGAAACACGGACCAAGGAGUCUAACAUCUAUGCGAGUGUUCGGGUGUCAAACCCCUGCGCGUAAUGAAAGUGAACGGAGGUGGGAACCGCAAGGUGCACCAUCGACCGAUCCUGAUGUCUUCGGAUGGAUUUGAGUAAGAGCAUAGCUGUUGGGACCCGAAAGAUGGUGAACUAUGCCUGAAUAGGGUGAAGCCAGAGGAAACUCUGGUGGAGGCUCGCAGCGGUUCUGACGUGCAAAUCGAUCGUCAAAUUUGGGUAUAGGGGCGAAAGACUAAUCGAACCAUCUAGUAGCUGGUUCCUGCCG
This 906-nucleotide ribosomal RNA is filed under the name Aureobasidium lini. Its description in RNAcentral is "LSU rRNA". It matches the Rfam family "Eukaryotic large subunit ribosomal RNA", at positions 36 to 963 of the family's 3401-position model. Lineage: Eukaryota; Fungi; Ascomycota; Dothideomycetes; Dothideales; Saccotheciaceae. The record is from RNAcentral.